CGGGCAGGUUGUGAUACAGUCUGGAAUAAAACCAGGGUCUGUAGGGACGCCUCUAGCACUGAGAUGCAGUGCCUUAGACCACUGCAUACCACCCCUACCUUGUCACAACACAAAUGAUUGGCUCAAACGUAUUAAGAAGGAAAGAAAUUCCACAAAUUAACAGGCACACCUGUUAAUUGAAAUGCAUUCCAGGUGAUUACCUCAUGAAGCUGGUUGAGAGAAUGCCAAGUGUGUGCAAAUCUGAUUUGUUUAACACUUUUUUGAUGACUACAUGAUUCCAUAUGUGUUAUUUCAUAGUUUUGAUGUCUUCACUAGUUUUCUACAAUGUAGAAAAUAGUAAAAAAUAAAGAAAAACCCUGGAAUAAGUAGGUAUGUCCAAAUUAUUUGAUUUCUUAUUAUUACUUUUAUUGUCCUGCAAUGUUGCGGGGUACAGAUUUUUACUGUACCCCACAUUUACAUCUGCAACCCUGUGACUAUUAAUCUUCUAAUCUACCAGUAUUAAUGGCCAGCAGGCUCAGACAAUAUCAAUAAUGACUAUAGCGAAAGGGGAGGGUCGGUGACUUGUGGGGGAGAAAGAACCAGUGGAGGCAGCAACAGACAGGUAGAAAGUAGCAGGUGCCAGGUGGAUUGGGCCAGGUGUCAGGCUAGGGUGUCCUCAGUCACAGCCCUGGAGCAUCAGGCCCUCCAGAAGGAGAGACAGAGAAAGAGAAAAGAUGAGGAUUAGUGAGAGCAUGCCUAAAACCAUAGUACACCACAUACACUAGGGGUAGUGAAUAAUCAGUAGUGUUGCUGUGGACACUGGAUAAUCUGACUGACACACACCUGUUUGACCUCGCUGUGAUACUGUCGGCCUACUUACAGUGGGGCAAAAAAGUAUUUAGUCAGCCACCAAUUGUGCAAGUUCUCCCACUUAAAAAGAUGAGAGAGGCCUGUAAUUUUCAUCAUAGGUACACUUCAACUAUGACAGACAAAAUGAGGAAAAUAAAUCCAGAAAAUCACAUUGUAGGAUUUUUAAUGAAUUUAUUUGCAAAUUAUGGUGGAAAAUAAGUAUUAAGUGGGAGAACUUGCACAAUUGGUGGCUGACUAAAUACUUUUUGCCCCACUGUAUGUUACUUUUCUGAGUCAAUUCAGGUAGCAUUCAAUGUUCUGCGUUUGUGUUAACAAUGGCAGCCAGCAUUGAAAAUAAAGAGAUAUGCAGAAAGAUAAUCAGCCUCUGUGUCCGUGGAUCCUUUCUCUUAAUGUAUUUUUCAUGUCAGUCCUUCUUUUCAAAGAACCCUUACAAAAAAAGAUUGCAGUCAGAGUGAAAUAUAUUGACUCAGUACACUGGCCAAAAUAUCACAGUCGACUGCAGUUACUGCACUUUUACUGCAAUUUCAAAACUGCAACCGAUUUUUAUAAUCUGUAAUUGAGUAAAAUAAGUAGUUUUGGUCUGGUCACAAGAUAAUCCAGAAAAUUGUGGUAAACAGCAUCACACUCAGGCAGAACCUGAAUGUUCUAUUCUCAGCCAGGACCAUCUUUUAAAAGAAAACACAAUAUAAACAGAAUCUCUAUUUGAAAAAAAAUAACCGUUUUGUUGUGAUGACAAGAAAAUUCUAACAGAAUCAGGUACUGAUGUCAGACAGUCAGGCAUAAAAAUCUGAAUGUUCUAUCAUAAAGUGAAAACAAUUAUUUUCCCUGGCUGUUUUGUCACUACACACCAGACGUGAUCAGCACUCGCAGGUUGAAAUAUCAAAACAAACUCUGAACCAACUAUAUUAAUUUGGGGACAGGUCGAAAAACAUUCAACAUUUAUGGCAAUUUAAAUAGCUAGCUUGCUGUUUCUAGCUAAUUUGUCCUGGGACAGGGUCCUCUACUCUGUCAAUUAAUCCACAGAUAAAAGGGUAAAAGUUUGUUUUCUAGUUAUCCCUCCUCCUUCAGGCUGAUGCUGCUUCUUCUUCAGGCUGCUGCUGCUUCUUCUUCUUCUUCUUCUUCAGGCUGCUGCUUCUUCUUCUUCUUCUUCUUCUUCAGGCUGCUGCUUCUUCUUCUUCUUCAGGCUGCUGCUGCUUCUUCCUCAGGCUGCUGCUUCUUUUUCUUCUUCGGGCUGUUGCUUCUUCUUCUUCAGGCUGCUGCUUCUUCUUCUUCUUCUUCAGGCUGCUUCUGCUUCUUCUUCAGGCUGCUGCUUCUUCUUCUUCUUCUUCUUCUUCUUCAGGCUGCUUCUACUUCUUCAGGCUGCUUCUGCUUCUUCAGGCUGCUUCUGCUUCUUCUUCAGGCUGCUGAUUCUUCUUCUUUUUAUUCUUCAGGCUGCUUCUACUUCUUCUUCAGGCUGCUUUUACUUCUUCAGGCUGCUUCUGCUUCUUCAGGCUGCUUCUUCUUCUUCUUCUUCAGGCUGCUGCUUCUUCUUCUUUUUAUUCUUCAGGCUGCUUCUACUUCUUCUUCAGGCUGCUGCUUCUUCUUCUUUUUAUUCUUCAGGCUGCUUCUACUUCUUCUUCAGGCUGCUGCUUCUUCUUCUUUUUAUUAUUCAGGCUGUUUCUACUUCUUCUUUUUAUUCUUCAGGCUGCUUCUGCUUCUUCUUCAGGCUGCUGCUUCUUCUUCUUUUUAUUAUUCAGGCUGUUUCUACUUCUUAUUUUUAUUCUUCAGGCUGCUUCUACUUCUUCUUCAGGCUGCUGCUUCUUCUUCUUUUUAUUCUUCAGGCUGCUUCUACUUCUUCUUCAGGCUGCUUCUACUUCUUCUUUUUAUUCUUCAGGCUGCUUCUACUUCUUCUUCAGGCUGCUGCUUCUUCUUCUUUUUAUUAUUCAGGCUGCUUCUACUUCUUCUUUUUAUUCUUCAGGCUGCUUCUACUUCUUCUUCAGGCUGCUGCUUCUUCUUCUUUUUAUUCUUCAGGCUGCUUCUACUUCUUCUUCAGGCUGCUGCUUCUUCUUCUUCUUUUUAUUAUUCAGGCUGCUUCUGCUUCUUCUUCAGGCUGCUGCUUCUUCUUUUUAUUCUUUAGGCUGCUGCUUCUUCUUUUUAAUCUUCAGGCUGCUUCUGCUUCUUCUUCAGGCUGCUUCUGCUUCUUCUUCAGGCUGCUGCUGCUUCUUUUUCUUCUUCAGGCUGCUGCUGCUUCUUCCUCAGGCUGCUGCUUCUUCUUUUUCUUCUUCGAGCUGUUGCUGCUUCUUCUUCUUCAGGCUGCUGCUUCUUCUUCUUCUUCUUCUUCUUCAGGCUGCUGCUGCUUCUUCUUCUUCUUCUUCAGGCUGCUGCUGCUUCUUCCUCAGGCUGCUGCUUCUUUUUCUUCUUCGGGCUGUUGCUUCUUCUUCUUCAGGCUGCUGCUUCUUCUUCGUCUUCUUCAGGCUGCUGCUGCUUCUUCUUCUUCUUCUUCAGGCUGCUGCUGCUUCUUCCUCAGGCUGCUGCUUCUUUUUUUCUUUCGGGCUGUUGCUUCUUCUUCUUCAGGCUGCUGCUUCUUCUUCUUCUUCUUCAGGCUGCUUCUGCUUCUUCUUCAGGCUGCUGCUUCUUCUUCUUAUUAUUAUUAUUCUUCAGGCUGCUUCUACUUCUUCAGGCUGCUUCUGCUUCUUCAGGCUGCUUCUGCUUCUUCUUCAGGCUGCUGAUUCUUCUUUUUAUUCUUCAGGCUGCUUCUACUUCUUCUUCAGGCUGAUGCUUCUUCUUCUUUUUAUUCUUCAGGCUGCUUCUACUUCUUCUUCAGGCUGCUUUUACUUCUUCAGGCUGCUUCUGCUUCUUCAGGCUGCUUCUACUUCUUCUUCAGGCUGCUGCUUCUUCUUCUUUUUAUUCUUCAGGCUGCUUCUACUUCUUCUUCAGGCUGCUGCUUCUUCUUCUUUUUAUUCUUCAGGCUGCUUCUACUUCUUCUUCAGGCUGCUGCUUCUUCUUCUUUUUAUUAUUCAGGCUGUUUCUACUUCUUAUUUUUAUUCUUCAGGCUGCUUCUACUUCUUCUUCAGGCUGCUGCUUCUUCUUCUUUUUAUUCUUCAGGCUGCUUCUACUUCUUCUUCAGGCUGCUGCUUCUUCUUCUUUUUAUUCUUCAGGCUGCUUCUACUUCUUCUUCAGGCUGCUUCUACUUCUUCUUUUUAUUCUUCAGGCUGCUUCUACUUCUUCUUCAGGCUGCUGCUUCUUCUUCUUUUUAUUAUUCAGGCUGCUUCUACUUCUUCUUUUUAUUCUUCAGGCUGCUUCUACUUCUUCUUCAGGCUGCUGCUUCUUCUUUUUAUUCUUCAGGCUGCUUCUACUUCUUCUUCAGGCUGCUGCUUCUUCUUCUUCUUUUUAUUAUUCAGGCUGCUUCUGCUUCUUCUUCAGGCUGCUGCUUCUUCUUUUUAUUCUUUAGGCUGCUGCUUCUUCUUUUUAAUCUUCAGGCUGCUUCUGCUUCUUCUUUUUAUUCUUUAGGCUGCUGCUUCUUCUUUUUCUUCUUCAGGCUGCUGUUUCUUUUUCAGGCUGCUGCUUCUUCUUCUUCAGGCUGCUGCUGCUUCUUCUUCAGGCAGCUGCUUCCUCUGCUUCUUCUUCAGGCUGCUGCUUCUUCUUUUUCUUCUUCGGGCUGUUGCUUCUACUUCUUCAGGCUGCUUCUUCUUUUUCUUCUUCUUCAGGCUGCUUCUGCUACUUCUUCAGGCUGCUGCUUCUUCUUUUUAUUCUUCAGGCUGCUUCUGCUUCUUCUUCAGGCUGCUUCUGCUUCUUCUUCAGGCUGCUGAUUCUUCUUUUUAUUCUUCAGGCUGCUUCUACUUCUUCUUCAGGCUGCUUCUUCUUCUUCUUUUUAUUCUUCAGGCUGUUUCUGCUUCUUCUUCUUCUUUUUAUUCUUUAGGCUGCUACUUCUUCUUUUUAAUCUUCAGGCUGCUUCUGCUUCUUCUUCUUUUUAUUCUUUAGGCUGCUGCUUCUUCUUUUUAAUCUUCAGGCUGCUUCUGCUUCUUCUUCAGGCUGCUGCUUCUUCUUCUUCUUUUUAUUCUUCAGGCUGCUGCUUCUUCUUUUUAAUCUUCAGGCUGCUUCUGCUUCUUCUUCAGGCUGCUGCUGCUUCUUCUUCUUUUUAUUCUUCAGGCUGCUUCUUCUUCUUCUUCUUUUUAUUCUUCAGGCUGCUUCUAGUUCUUCUUCAGGCUGCUGCUUCUUCUUCUUCUUUUUAUUCUUCAGGCUGUUUCUGCUUCUUCUUCAGGCUGCUGCUUCUUCUUUUUAUUCUUUAGGCUGCUACUUCUUCUUUUUAAUCUUCAGGCUGCUUCUGCUUCUUCUUCAGGCUGCUGCUUCUUCUUCUUCUUUUUAUUCUUCAGGCUGCUUCUGCUUCUUCUUUUUAUUCUUCAGGCUGCUUCUGCUUCUUCUUUUUAUUCUUCAGGCUGCUUCUGCUUCUUCUUUUUAUUCUUCAGUCUGCUUCUGCUUCUUCUUUUUAUUCUUCAGGCUUCUUCUGCUUCUUCUUUUUAUUCUUCAGGCUUCUUCUGCUUCUUCUUUUUAUUCUUCAGGCCGCUUCUGCUUCUUCUUCUUCUUCUUCUUUUUAUUCUUCAGGCUGCUGCUUCUUCUUCUUCUUCUUCUUCUUCUUUUUAUUCUUCAGGCCGCUUCUGCUUCUUCUUCUUCUUCUUUUUAUUCUUCAGGCUGCUGCUUCUUCUUCUUCUUCUUUUUAUUCUGGUGGUUGGCAACCAACUUCAAGCUGCGUUACCACUACAGACUGGACUGGAGCAUAGACCUCAGUUCAUCUUUCAAUCACCAACGUGGGUAUAUGCUCCUAAAAACCAAUGAGGAGAUGGGAAAGGUGUUAAGCGUUAAGCGUCACAAAUAGAACCACGUUAGCGUCUGGCUAUGCAGAUGCUCUUUUACAUGCGUGAGCAGUGUGAGUGUAAUGAUUGAAUAACAUGUAUGUGUACAUUUAUUUUGCAACUCUCGCGCACAGGACACGAGCGGUGUGGUCUGGUCAGGAUAGAAACAAUAACGACAGGUGUGAUGGAAACAGGAAGAAUUGUAUUGUAUAAAUGCCGACAGAUAACUUAUUUGUUCAACAUGGUGGGAUAUUUGGUGCCGGUAAAAUUAAUGAUAUGAGAAAU
Molecule: long non-coding RNA, 5963 nt
Organism: Oncorhynchus tshawytscha (Chinook salmon)
Lineage: Eukaryota; Metazoa; Chordata; Actinopteri; Salmoniformes; Salmonidae
Source: Ensembl